UACGUAGGUGACAAGCGUUGUCCGGAUUUACUGGGCGUAAAGAGCGCGCAGGCGGUCGAUCAAGUCGAGUGUGAAAGCCCCCGGCUCAACUGGGGAGGGUCAUUCGAUACUGAUCGACUCGAAGGCAGGAGAGGGUAGUGGAAUUCCCGGUGUAGUGGUGAAAUGCGUAGAUAUCGGGAGGAACACCAGUGGCGAAGGCGACUACCUGGCCUGUUCUUGACGCUGAGGCGCGAAAGCUAGGGGAUCAAACGGG
RNAcentral lists this ribosomal RNA (253 nucleotides) under uncultured bacterium. Its description in RNAcentral is "partial 16S ribosomal RNA". It matches the Rfam family "Bacterial small subunit ribosomal RNA", at positions 524 to 776 of the family's 1533-position model. The record is from RNAcentral.